Molecule: ribosomal RNA, 502 nt
Filed under: Bacillus licheniformis
Lineage: Bacteria; Bacillati; Bacillota; Bacilli; Caryophanales; Bacillaceae
Description: bacterial SSU rRNA
Rfam family: Bacterial small subunit ribosomal RNA
Source: RNAcentral
UGGCGGCGUGCCUAAUACAUGCAAGUCGAGCGGACCGACGGGAGCUUGCUCCCUUAGGUCAGCGGCGGACGGGUGAGUAACACGUGGGUAACCUGCCUGUAAGACUGGGAUAACUCCGGGAAACCGGGGCUAAUACCGGAUGCUUGAUUGAGCCGCAUGGUUCAAUUAUAAAAGGUGGCUUUCAGCUACCACUUACAGAUGGACCCGCGGCGCAUUAGCUAGUUGGCGAGGUAACGGCUCACCAAGGCGACGAUGCGUAGCCGACCUGAGAGGGUGAUCGGCCACACUGGGACUGAGACACGGCCCAGACUCCUACGGGAGGCAGCAGUAGGGAAUCUUCCGCAAUGGACGAAAGUCUGACGGAGCAACGCCGCGUGAGUGAUGAAGGUUUUCGGAUCGUAAAACUCUGUUGUUAGGGAAGAACAAGUGCCGUUCGAAUAGGGCGGCACCUUGACGGUACCUAACCAGAAAGCCACGGCUAACUACGUGCCAGCAGCCGCGG